GGUUGUUUGGCCGAGCGGUCUAAGGCGCCUGAUUCAAGAAAUAUCUUGAUCGCAGUUAACUGUGGGAACACUCAGGUAUCGUAAGAUGCAAGAGUUCGAAUCUCUUAGCAACCA
This 114-nucleotide transfer RNA is filed under the name Saccharomyces cerevisiae (brewer's yeast). It matches the Rfam family "tRNA". Rfam says of the family: Transfer RNA (tRNA) molecules are approximately 80 nucleotides in length. The record is from RNAcentral. Lineage: Eukaryota; Fungi; Ascomycota; Saccharomycetes; Saccharomycetales; Saccharomycetaceae.